This 448-nucleotide long non-coding RNA is filed under the name Salvia miltiorrhiza (redroot sage). RNAcentral describes it as "long non-coding RNA (SMIL_LNC010738)". The record is from RNAcentral. Lineage: Eukaryota; Viridiplantae; Streptophyta; Magnoliopsida; Lamiales; Lamiaceae.
GCAGAGCUCGAAUUUGGAUUUGCUCUGGAGUAGCCAUCGGAUCUGUCUCAACUUGAGUGUUCUGUUUCUUUAGAUUGCGCAAGGUCUUGUUGAUUUCAGGGUCAAACUCAAAGAGAGGAUUUCCGUGAGAUCGUGUGUUCAUAUGCAACCUACAGAAACAGCAAAAAGAUCAGAAAAGAAAAAUAAAAAAAAAAAAAAACUUGCAGUACUAUAAAGUCCUAUUGGAAAUAUUAAAGCAAAAUCUAAACAGUCCCCGGCAACGGCGCCAAAAAGUUGAUCACUAUUUUAUUAGCAACAAAAAUACCGCAACUAACACGGUGUAAUCGUAGCACAGAAAUAGCAAGCAGAGUAUCGUAUCCACAGAGACUGUAAAACGAAAUCACUCUAUCUACUUCCUAAACAGACUCUCACAGUAUGCAAGUGAAACGAUUAUGAAGGAAAGUUUAAU